Molecule: ribosomal RNA, 548 nt
Filed under: uncultured bacterium
Lineage: Bacteria
Description: bacterial SSU rRNA
Rfam family: Bacterial small subunit ribosomal RNA
Source: RNAcentral
UAGGGAAUCUUCGGCAAUGGGGGCAACCCUGACCGAGCAACGCCGCGUGAGUGAAGAAGGUUUUCGGAUCGUAAAGCUCUGUUGUAAGACAAGAACGAGUGUGAGAGUGGAAAGUUCACACUGUGACGGUAACUUACCAGAAAGGGACGGCUAACUACGUGCCAGCAGCCGCGGUAAUACGUAGGUCCCGAGCGUUAUCCGGAUUUAUUGGGCGUAAAGCGAGCGCAGGCGGUUUGAUAAGUCUGAAGUUAAAGGCUGUGGCUCAACCAUAGUUCGCUUUGGAAACUGUCAAACUUGAGUGCAGAAGGGGAGAGUGGAAUUCCAUGUGUAGCGGUGAAAUGCGUAGAUAUAUGGAGGAACACCGGUGGCGAAAGCGGCUCUCUGGUCUGUAACUGACGCUGAGGCUCGAAAGCGUGGGGAGCGAACAGGAUUAGAUACCCUGGUAGUCCACGCCGUAACGAUGAGUGCUAGGUGUUGGAUCCUUUCCGGGAUUCAGUGCCGCAGCUAACGCAUUAAGCACUCCGCCUGGGGAGUACGACCGCAAGGUU